UGGGAGAAAGAGAAUCGGAUGAGAAAGAUUUACCCGAAGCUAUUGUUGGAGUAUGGUUGAUUUAGUUGGUUGCUGGAAUUUCGGGGACGAAAUUCUAUAAGGAGGAAAGAUUGUCACAGCCCGUCCCGGAAUUUUAAUUCCGAGGACAUGAAAAGACGAAAAUGCCCUUAAACGGGACUAAGGGGCGAAAAUUUAACAAUUUGGAUUGAGUUGGACACGUGGGAUCCCCACAUCCCUCAAAACCUUCCCCAAUUCCCGUACCUUGUCUCUCUAUCUCUCUUCCCUCACGACUCUCUCUCACUCUCAGUUCUCUCUCUUCCUCUCCGACGCUCAACCUCACCCAAAACCACCUAAAACAUAAACAAACGUCCAAGAUAAGACCACAUUUGGACUCCUGGAACUUCCACGAUCACGUAGACACCAAUUUCAGGUAAGUUUUGCUUCGAAAAACCCUAGUUUCAAAGUUCCCGUGAAAUGGUACUGUUCAUGAUCUUUUAAAUGGUUACGAUUUUAGGCUAAAACAAGAUCACAGCGAGCUUAGUGAGGUCCCAAGGAAGCUCGGAGUGCUUUCGUUGGAAGUUUUUGGACGUAAAAACACGGAGAUCGACAAGUUCAAAGUUUGGCCGGAGCUUUCGAGGCAUUUUUCCG
Molecule: long non-coding RNA, 648 nt
Filed under: Malus domestica (apple)
Lineage: Eukaryota; Viridiplantae; Streptophyta; Magnoliopsida; Rosales; Rosaceae
Description: long non-coding RNA (MDOM_LNC002360)
Source: RNAcentral